GACGAACGCUGGCGGCAUGCCUAAUACAUGCAAGUCGAGCGAGCAGAUGAAGUGCUUGCACUUCUGACGUUAGCGGCGAACGGGUGAGUAACACGUAAGGAAUCUACCUAUAAGCGGGGGAUAACAUUCGGAAACGGGUGCUAAUACCGCAUAAUAUCUUCUUCCGCAUGGAAGAAGAUUGAAAGACGGCUCUGCUGUCACUUAUAGAUGACCUUGCGGUGCAUUAGUUAGUUGGUGGGGUAACGGCCUACCAAGACGAUGAUGCAUAGCCGACCUGAGAGGGUGAGCGGCCACAUUGGGACUGAGACACGGCCCAAACUCCUACGGGAGGCAGCAGUAGGGAAUCUUCCGCAAUGGGCGAAGGCCUGACGGAGCAAUGCCGCGUGAGUGAAGAAGGCCUUCGGGUCGUAAAACUCUGUUAUAAGAGAAGAACAAAUUGUAGAGUAACUGCUACAGUCUUGACGGUAUCUUAUCAGAAAGCCACGGCUAACUACGUGCCAGCCGCCGCCGUAA
RNAcentral lists this ribosomal RNA (513 nucleotides) under uncultured bacterium. RNAcentral's name for it is "partial 16S ribosomal RNA". It matches the Rfam family "Bacterial small subunit ribosomal RNA", at positions 28 to 523 of the family's 1533-position model. The record is from RNAcentral.